AGAAGCUUAGGUUAACCACAGACCGGACAACACACCUAGCCCCCCUGACCUAAUAACUAUUUAGCUCCUG
This 70-nucleotide transfer RNA is filed under the name Desmodus rotundus (common vampire bat). RNAcentral describes it as "tRNA-Trp". Lineage: Eukaryota; Metazoa; Chordata; Mammalia; Chiroptera; Phyllostomidae. The record is from RNAcentral.